CCUACGGGCGGCAGCAGUGAGGAAUAUUGGUCAAUGGGCGCAGGGCUGAACCAGCCAAGUAGCGUGAGGGAUGACGGUCCUAUGGAUUGUAAACCUCUUUUGUCAGGGAGCAAAGUGAGCCACGUGUGGCGUUUUGCGAGUACCUGAAGAAAAAGCAUCGGCUAACUCCGUGCCAGCAGCCGCGGUAAUACGGAGGAUGCGAGCGUUGUCCGGAUUUAUUGGGUUUAAAGGGUGCGCAGGCGGAAUGUAAAGUCAGUGGUAAAAUUGCGGGGCUCAACCCCGUCGUGCAGUUGAAACUGGCGUACUUGAGUGAGCGAGAAGGAUGCGGAAUGCGUGGUGUAGCGGUGAAAUGCGUAGAUAUCAAGAAGAACACCGAUUGCGAAGGCAGCAUACCGGCGCUCAACUGACGCUCAUGCACGAAAGCGUGGGGAGCGAACAGGAUUAGAUACCCGGGUAGUC
Molecule: ribosomal RNA, 459 nt
Filed under: uncultured bacterium
Lineage: Bacteria
Description: partial 16S ribosomal RNA
Rfam family: Bacterial small subunit ribosomal RNA
Source: RNAcentral